UGCUGUCACAGUGGCCAUUGCAGCAGCCUGUGGACAUCACAACAGCCACCACUGCCCUGCCCUUUGCACCUCCCUGGGACUAAGAGAGUGGAAAAUGUGAUACUGAGCAGUAAUUGCCAUCAGCACUGCCAGAACCAGCCACCAGAACGUGAGGGAGUGGUACCAGAUGCAUCAUUGGUCUGUGCAGUGUCAACCUUUAUAAGCCUCUACAAUAACAUGAGGAAGAUGAUUGAAGCCUUUUGUUGUCUCUCUUCUGAAAAGACUGAACCUAUUCCAGUGCUGCAGAUCUCAGAGGAGGAGACUUUCCAUUGAGGUUGGAGGUAUUUCCUGUAGAUCCUUGGGAUCAUCAGGGCCUCGGCUGAUUUCUCCAGUACUCCUUAGUCUUCUGGCUCCAAAAAAGACUCUGUACUCUACAAACCACGCAGAGGAAAAGUUAGGGCAGUGGAUAAAGCUCUACUGCUGAGUGUGGAGCCUGCUUACCUGCCCAGAUCACAGGCGAUGCUGUUGGGAAUCACAAAUACAGUCCUUACUAAGUGGCAAGAGGAACACCUGGGCACCGAGUCCACAUCAUCAUUCUCACUGUGACAGAGUAUUUAGCAUGGUUCCCAUUCACAAAUAACUUGUGUCUAUCAGCUGGAUCAGCAUCGCUCUUCGUGAUCCAUACUUCACGCUUCCUCCAUUCAUUCACUGACUGCUUUUAGCUUGCUUAACCAUGCUAAUAUGCAAAAGGAGGGUCUGAUUUACAGGGCUAUCUUCUCAAUAUGAACACUUUUAAGUUCAUUAUCAGUUACAGAAUGAGGCUCCAGGUGAGAUAAAACCCUUGCCUCACGAAUAUUGUUACUAAAGCUUUGUAUGCUGAUGAGCGGGAUUCCUGUAUUUGGAAGCCAAAUAAAAACUAUCCAAGGUGAA
Long non-coding RNA from Gallus gallus (chicken), 909 nucleotides. RefSeq lists it as uncharacterized. The record is from RefSeq and is a predicted model, not a curated record. The transcript has 3 exons. NCBI's taxonomy places the organism in Eukaryota, Metazoa, Chordata, Aves, Galliformes, Phasianidae.